UAACAAAUAGGCGAUGGUGUUCGCCUUUAACUAUCAUAAAUAGAUAUGAUUAAUGACGCCUACUUAGAC
Molecule: non-coding RNA, 69 nt
Filed under: Alkalibacterium sp. 20
Lineage: Bacteria; Bacillati; Bacillota; Bacilli; Lactobacillales; Carnobacteriaceae
Also listed under: 1 other name
Description: Fluoride riboswitch aptamer (crcB RNA motif)
Rfam family: Fluoride riboswitch aptamer (crcB RNA motif)
Source: Rfam by way of RNAcentral